ACCCGCUGAAUUUAAGCAUAUCAGUAACGGCAGGAAAGGAAAAUAACCAUGAUUCCUUCAGUAACGGCGAGUGAAGUGGGAUCAGUCCAACGUUGAAAGCGAGAUAUAACAAAGUGUGGCAUUGUAACGUAUAGACUUGCCAUCGAGACAUUUGGCUGGACCUAAGUCGUUAAGAGUGACGCACCACAGAGGGUUGUAGUCCCGUGUAUGGUUCGGUUUCAGAUGUCAAGCAUGGCAAAGUCAAAGAGUCGGAUUGUUUGGGAAUGCAGUCCUAAGCAGGUGGUAAACUCCAUCUAAGACUAAAUAUAACUCCGAGACCGAUAGCAAACAAGUACCGUGAGGGAAAGGUGAAAAGAACUCUGAGAAGAGAUUGAAAAGAACGUGAAACCGUUAAUGGGGAAGCAUACAAUGUAAUCGUAGGGUUGUAAUAUUUGUGUCGAGCGGUGGUCGUCUCCACUGAUCGGUGCUUAAUUUUACGACGCGCGCUAGGCUCUAUGCUAAGGUCAUUGUCAGUGUGUUUAGUGGUUCAUCAACGGCCCUUCCUUGAGGAAUGGUUAGGUGGCUGUGGGCACGUGCUGUUGUAGAAUGACGCGGCAUAGAUGUAUGUGCUUGUGUGCCCUAUCGUAUGGACGUAAAGUUGAUGUUGUUCACUAUGUGGGUAGCGUGGAUGUAGCGUUUUUGCGGUAUGGUACCACGAUGAAGGUCGCACAUAAACUCUUAGCGAGAUAUGACAUUGUCUGACCCGUCUUGAAACACGGACCAAGGAGGCUAACAUGUACGCAAGUCGAGGAGUGGAGAAACUCUAUGGCGCAACGAAAGUAAAAUGUGAGAUCACGCAAUGUGGAGUUGUGUGCGCAUCACAGACCAGUCGGAAAAUUGACUACGAUUGAGUUGGAGCGUACAUGCUAGGACCCGAUAGAUGGUGACCUAUUCCUGAGUAGAGCGAAUUCAUUGGAAACAAUGAUGGAGGCUCGUAGCGGUUCUGACGUGCAAAUCGACCGUCACACUUGGGUAUAGGGGCGAAAGACUAAUCGAACCAUCUAGUAGCUGGUUCCCUCCGAAAUAUCCCUCAGGAUCGCCGAGACUCGUUAGCAGUUUCAUCGGGUAGAGCUAAUGAUUAGAGGACUCGGGGCUAUUUAUAGCCUCGACCUAUUCUCAAACUGCAAACCGGUGACCUUGUCAGUGAUUACUUGAUUGAAUCGCUGAUACCGUAAGGGCGAAUGUAGAGUCUCGAGUGGGCCGUUUUUGGUAAGCAGAACUGGCGAUGCGGGAUGAAACGAGAGUCGGGUUAAAGUGCCUAAAUGGAGGCAGAUGGAUACCACAAAAGGAGUUGAUGAAUUAUGACAGUAAGGCUGUGGUCCUGAAAGUAGACAUCAGCUAAGAAGUGUGCAACAACUUACUUACCGAAUUCAUCGGCCCUGAAAAUGGAUGGCGCUUAGCCUUCUACUGAUACCCGACCGUGGACGCGAGAAAUGUAUCGUUCAUGGGUAGGAGGGUGCUAUGGUUGCGGAGAAGCUUGCACGUGAGUGUGAGUGGAGCUGCCAUAGGUACAGAUCUUGGUUUUAGUAGCAGCGUAUAGAAGUGAGAACCUUCUAGACCGAAGUGGAGAAGGGUUCCUCGUGAACAGCAGUUGGACGAGGGUUAGUCGGUCCUAAGCAGCAGCUCACACGCUGAGUCAUAGAAGACGUUUUGUAGAUAGUGUGCUUGCAUGCGAUACACCGUCUUUAGUCUGCGAAAGGGAAUCAGGUUAAUAUUCCUGAACCAAGUGUCGAAUAGUUAGGUAAUUGUUUUUUGGUAGGUGUCCCGAAGCGGGGACUUGUGCUUGCGAGGGUGCUAUUGAGGCAAUAUCAGCAAAAGCGGUAAACGCAAACGAAACUCGGAGACGUUUGUUUGAUAGUUCUGGAAAGAGUUAUCUUUUCUGUUUAACCGAUUUGAGUGAGCCUGGAAAUAGAGUCAUUCGGAGAUAGGCUUAAACAAUUGGGAAGAGCGUCGCAUCUUAGUGGCGUCCGGAAUACUGUCAAUGAUCCGUGAAAAUCCGAGGGAGUGGUUAAUUUUCGCACUUGGCCGUACCGAGAUCCGCAUCAGGUCUCCAAGGUGAAUAGCCUCUGGUUCUAGAAUAAUGUGGGUAAGGGAAGUCGGCAAAAUAGAUUCGUAACUUCGGGAAAAGGAUUGGCUCUAAGGAUUGGACUGUUUGGACCUGCGAAUGCUGAGUGCGGUUCUUGUCUACGGUUGGUAAGAUGGGAGGGGGUUUCGGCUUCUUUGCGUCUUAUCAACUGUUAAUGAGAUACUGCGUUCUUCAUUUGUUGGUUUGUAUCGGUGCAUUGUUGGCCGUGUGUUGGCAAUGUAUCGGUGCCUCGCAGGCAGUUGGUAUCAAUCAACUUAGAACUGUCACUGACUAGGGGAAUCCGACUGUUUAGUUAAAACAAAGCAUUGCGAUGGCUGGAAACGGUGUUGACGCAAUGUGAAUUCUGCCCAGUGCUCUGAAUGUAAAAGUGUGGAGACACAACCAAGCGCGGGUAAACGGCGGGAGUAACUAUGACUCUCUUAAGAUAGCCAAAUGCCUCGUCAUCUAAUUAGUGACGCGCAUGAAUGGAUCAACGAGAUUCCCACUGUCCCUACCUACCAUCUAGCGAACAAACAGUCAAGGGAACGGGCUUGACUGAGACAGCGGGGAAAGAAGACCCUGUUGAGCUUGACUCUAGUUUGAUAUGGUGAGGAGACAUGAGAGGUGUAGUAUAGGUGGGAGAUACGGGUGCUUGCAUUCGUGUCGACAGUGAAAUACCACUACUCUUAUCGUUUCUUCACUAAAUCGGUGAUGAAGGAAGCGCCCGCUUGCAGGUGUAGUCGAAAUGCUGCUUCACGGCUGAUAGAGGUUGUGGGUUUGCUCGCAACUUUCGUUAGUUGAGGAGAGCUGAUUAUAACCGGAGUGGGUACGCCAAUUAUCCGUAAGCAUUAAGAUGGGCUGCUUCUGAUAGGCGGGUAUUGGCGCAAGUUAGUGCUCGUUUGUUAGGAGCUGGCUUUUCGAGAGUGUGUCCAUCGACCUUUCCGUGGUUAUGCAGCAAUGUAUAAUCAUGGGUUCGAACGACCGAUGACAGUAUCAAAUGGGGAGUUUGACUGGGGCGGUACAUUCUUUAAAAUGCAACGAGAAUGUCCUAAGGUGGGCUCACCGUGGACAGAAACCACGGGUAG
Molecule: ribosomal RNA, 3189 nt
Filed under: Myxobolus longisporus
Lineage: Eukaryota; Metazoa; Cnidaria; Myxozoa; Bivalvulida; Myxobolidae
Description: eukaryotic LSU rRNA
Rfam family: Eukaryotic large subunit ribosomal RNA
Source: RNAcentral